Molecule: ribosomal RNA, 1194 nt
Filed under: Chryseobacterium sp.
Lineage: Bacteria; Pseudomonadati; Bacteroidota; Flavobacteriia; Flavobacteriales; Weeksellaceae
Description: bacterial SSU rRNA
Rfam family: Bacterial small subunit ribosomal RNA
Source: RNAcentral
UUUGAUGCGUAGCGUACCAUGCAGUCGAGCGGUAGCCGUCCUUCGGGACUUUGAGAGCGGCGCACGGGUGCGGAACACGUGUGCAACCUACCUUUAUCUGGGGGAUAGCCUUUCGAAAGGAAGAUUAAUACCCCAUAAUAUAUUUGAUGGCAUCAUUAGAUAUUGAAAACUCCGGUGGAUAGAGAUGGGCACGCGCAAGAUUAGAUAGUUGGUGAGGUAACGGCUCACCAAGUCAAUGAUCUUUAGGGGGCCUGAGAGGGUGAUCCCCCACACUGGUACUGAGACACGGACCAGACUCCUACGGGAGGCAGCAGUGAGGAAUAUUGGACAAUGGGUGAGAGCCUGAUCCAGCCAUCCCGCGUGAAGGACUAAGGCCCUAUGGGUUGUAAACUUCUUUUAUACUGGGAUAAACCUACUUACGUGUAAGUAGCUGAAGGUACAGUAUGAAUAAGCACCGGCUAACUCCGUGCCAGCAGCCGCGGUAAUACGGAGGGUGCAAGCGUUAUCCGGAUUUAUUGGGUUUAAAGGGUCCGUAGGCGGACUCGUAAGUCAGUGGUGAAAUCUCAUAGCUUAACUAUGAAACUGCCAUUGAUACUGCGGGUCUUGAGUAAGGUAGAGGUAGCUGGAAUAAGUAGUGUAGCGGUGAAAUGCAUAGAUAUUACUUAGAACACCAAUUGCGAAGGCAGGUUACCAUGUCUUAACUGACGCUGAUGGACGAAAGCGUGGGGAGCGAACAGGAUUAGAUACCCUGGUAGUCCACGCCGUAAACGAUGCUAACUCGUUUUUGGGCUUUAGGGUUCAGAGACUAAGCGAAAGUGAUAAGUUAGCCACCUGGGGAGUACGAUCGCAAGAUUGAAACUCAAAGGAAUUGACGGGGGCCCGCACAAGCGGUGGAUUAUGUGGUUUAAUUCGAUGAUACGCGAGGAACCUUACCAAGGCUUAAAUGGGAAUUGACAGGUUUAGAAAUAGACUUUUCUUCGGACAUUUUCAAGGUGCUGCAUGGUUGUCGUCAGCUCGUGCCGUGAGGUGUUAGGUUAAGUCCUGCACGAGCGCACCCCUGUCACUAGUGCUAGCAUUAGUUGAGGACUCUAGUGAGACUGCUACGCAGUAGAGAGAGUGGGAUGACGUCAAUCAUCACGUCCUUACGCUGGGCCACACCACGUAAUACAUGGACGGUACAGAAGGGCAGCUUAC